CCCUUAGAUGUCCGGGGCUGCACGCGCGCUACACUGUAGAAAGCAGCGUGCUUUAAAACCUUUCCUGAAAAGGAUGGGUAACCCCAGCAAAAUUCUACGUGCUUGGGAUAGAGAUUUGCAAUUUUCUCUCUUGAACGAGGAGUUCCCAGUAAGUGCGAGUCAUCAGCUCGCGUUGAUUACGUCCCUGCCCUUUGUACACACCGCCCGUCGCUACUACCGAUUGGGAAAAUUUUAGAGAGUCCUGGACUAAUGAUUGUUCGGCUUCACGGCCUUACUUUCGUCGGGAAAGAAUUCGAUAAUAUUUUUCUAGAGGAAGUAAAAGUCGUAACA
RNAcentral lists this ribosomal RNA (330 nucleotides) under uncultured eukaryote. RNAcentral's name for it is "partial 18S ribosomal RNA". It matches the Rfam family "Eukaryotic small subunit ribosomal RNA", at positions 1470 to 1796 of the family's 1831-position model. The record is from RNAcentral.